GAGUUUGAUCCUGGCUCAGGAUGAACGCUGGCGGUAUGCCUUACACAUGCAAGUCGUACGAGAGUUUUUAACUCAAGUGGCGGACGGGUGAGUAACACGUAAGAAUUUGCCUCUAGGAGGGGGAUAACAGCUGGAAACGGUUGCUAAUACCCCAUAUGCUUUCGAGUGAAAUGGAUUUCCGCCUAGAGAGAAGCUUGCGGCUGAUUAGCUUGUUGGUGAGGUAAUGGCUCACCAAGGCGACGAUCAGUAUCUGGUUUGAGAGGACGAUUAGACACACUGGAACUGAGACACGGUCCAGACUCCUACGGGAGGCAGCAGUGGGGAAUUUUCCGCAAUGGGCGAAAGCCUGACGGAGCAAUACCGCGUGAGGGAUGACGGCCUAUGGGUUGUAAACCUCUUUUUUCAGGGAGGAAUCAAUGACGUGUACCUGAAGAAUAAGCAUCGGCUAACUCCGUGCCAGCAGCCGCGGUAAGACGGAGGAUGCAAGUGUUAUCCGGAAUCACUGGGCGUAAAGCGUCUGUAGGUGGUUUAAUAAGUCAACUGUUAAAUCUUGAGGCUCAACCUCAAAAUCGCAGUCGAAACUAUUAGACUAGAGUAUAGUAGGGGUAAAGGGAAUUUCCAGUGGAGCGGUGAAAUGCGUAGAUAUUGGAAGGAACACCGAUGGCGAAGGCACUUUACUGGGCUUAUUACUAACACUCAGAGACGAAAGCUAGGGUAGCAAAUGGGAUUAGAUACCCCAGUAGUCUAGCUGUAAACAUGAUACUAGAUUGUUUGAACAGAUCGACCUUUGGGCAGUUAUUCAAAGCUUAACGGCGUUAAGGUA
RNAcentral lists this ribosomal RNA (823 nucleotides) under uncultured bacterium. RNAcentral's name for it is "bacterial SSU rRNA". It matches the Rfam family "Bacterial small subunit ribosomal RNA", at positions 9 to 867 of the family's 1533-position model. The record is from RNAcentral.